GGCCACCACCAUCGUUUCUUAUCGAAGGAUUAUUAACAUUAGAAAUCCAAUUCGCCGAAGAUUAAGACAGAAAAUAUUGGUCUCAACUCAGAUCACUAGGGAUGUUUGAAUUGGGGAAGAAGAAAAACUGAAUCAUUGUUUGGGAGAGGGAAGAUGUGAUAUUUGGUUUUAUUGGAGCUAUCGUUUCCCAACAGAUACAUCUUACGGAUCUAGAAAUGAUGUAUUUAGAUCACACACCUAUCCACACCUGUAUAUCCAUAUGACUUUUUACAUUAGCUACAAUCACCAAUUUGUUUUGACAAUUUGUUCACAUGUAUAUGGAUACUCUUAUCAUUGCAUAGCACUUGGACACUCUCUUGAAUUUGAUGACGUUAAACUGAU
Molecule: unclassified non-coding RNA, 381 nt
Filed under: Arabidopsis thaliana (thale cress)
Lineage: Eukaryota; Viridiplantae; Streptophyta; Magnoliopsida; Brassicales; Brassicaceae
Source: RNAcentral